RNAcentral lists this ribosomal RNA (839 nucleotides) under Teunomyces kruisii. RNAcentral's name for it is "SSU rRNA". It matches the Rfam family "Eukaryotic small subunit ribosomal RNA", at positions 52 to 911 of the family's 1831-position model. The record is from RNAcentral. Lineage: Eukaryota; Fungi; Ascomycota; Pichiomycetes; Serinales; Debaryomycetaceae.
UGCAUGUCUAAGUAUAAGCAAUUAUACAGUGAAACUGCGAAUGGCUCAUUAAAUCAGUUAUCGUUUAUUUGAUAGUACCUUACUACUUGGAUAACCGUGGUAAUUCUAGAGCUAAUACAUGCUAAAACCCCGACUUCUGGAAGGGGUGUAUUUAUUAGAUAAAAAAUCAAUGCGUUUUUCGCUCUUUGAUGAUUCAUAAUAACUUUUCGAAUCGCAUGGCCUUGUGCUGGCGAUGGUUCAUUCAAAUUUCUGCCCUAUCAACUUUCGAUGGUAGGAUAGUGGCCUACCAUGGUUUCAACGGGUAACGGGGAAUAAGGGUUCGAUUCCGGAGAGGGAGCCUGAGAAACGGCUACCACAUCCAAGGAAGGCAGCAGGCGCGCAAAUUACCCAAUCCCGAUACGGGGAGGUAGUGACAAUAAAUAACGAUACAGGGCCCUUUCGGGUCUUGUAAUUGGAAUGAGUACAAUGUAAAUACCUUAACGAGGAACAAUUGGAGGGCAAGUCUGGUGCCAGCAGCCGCGGUAAUUCCAGCUCCAAAAGCGUAUAUUAAAGUUGUUGCAGUUAAAAAGCUCGUAGUUGAACCUUGGGCUUGGUUGGCCGGUCCGCUUUUUGCGAGUACUGACCCAACCGAGCCUUUCCUUCUGGGUAACCGUUCUUUCGGGGACGGCGAACCAGGACUUUUACUUUGAAAAAAUUAGAGUGUUCAAAGCAGGCCUUUGCUCGAAUAUAUUAGCAUGGAAUAAUAGAAUAGGACGUUAUGGUUCUAUUUUGUUGGUUUCUAGGACCAUCGUAAUGAUUAAUAGGGACGGACGGGGGCAUCAGUAUUAAGUUGUCAGAGG